Molecule: non-coding RNA, 64 nt
Organism: Podarcis lilfordi (Lilford's wall lizard)
Lineage: Eukaryota; Metazoa; Chordata; Lepidosauria; Squamata; Lacertidae
Source: the annotation of a GenBank genome assembly
GAUAGUUCAGUUGGUAGAGCAUGAGAUUCUUAAUCUGAGGGUUGUUGGUUUAAGCCAUAUUGCA